AGCGGUUCGGUAAAACGAGUAUUGCGUCAUAUCUGGCGAUCUCACUUCCAGCGUCUCGUUGUGUUGCACGAGAGGUAACUUCGUUUGAGCUGGCGUUCGGGUGAGUGCAUGUUGCACCCAUAGACUAACAACCGUUGCUUUGCCGUUGCGCUCCUCUGGAUGUGCAAACUCCAUGUGACGUCUUUGUGGUUGAAUUCUGCUGUUGGAAUGUGAUCGAACAGAGGGGUGGCUGCCGUAUGGAUGUGUUUUGCACGAUUUGGUAUGUAUAACCUCCUAUUUCCCUUUUUGUCCUCAUGAAGGUAAAUGGGGCUAUAAUUCGUUUGUGUUUUAGGAAGUGAAAUCAUUCUGUGAGUGGGCUUGUUUCAAUCCCAGUUACAACUUGAUUUCAGCAUGGCUGGCACCUUCAACACUGCCAUUUUGCUUUAAUUCUGUUUUGUUUAAUGAUUUGGGUUGUAUGUAUUGAUGUUGUGUAAGCCUUUUUCCCUGUUCUUUUGUGUUUUCAUUUUUGUUCUUUUUUUUCUCUUCUGUUGUUAAUAUUCAUUUUGCUUUUGUUAAAUGCAUGCUGUGCACCUGUUAGCAUUGCAUUUGCUAACGCUCGUUUGGUCUUGUGUUUGAUGUACAUCUGUGUUUUUUUUGUUUUUGUUUAUUUUGGUUGCAUUUAUUCUUCUUGUUUUAUAUUUUUGUAACGUCGGCUUGGUAUUUCAUAAUUUGUCCUGUUAUUUCUUUUGUUGUUGUAACCUUUUCUUUUUUUUGUACUGGAGCUGGGGCCUGGAGAGGGCAGGCUGACCCUUCCCGUGUGGUUAUCUCACUGUUCACUAGAGUGGUGUGGAGUUGCCGUGAAUUCUUUGGAGAGUGAGUGGUUUGAGGCACGUGUGUGUGUGGUUAUCAUUAUUACUAUUACGGGCAUUCUUGAAGCCCGGUGUCCAGCCUGCCACCUUAGUAGUAAGCCCCAGCUCUUUUGUUGGGGUGUUUGUUUUCUUCUCUUGUUUGUUUUGCAGCAGGUGGUGCUGCUUGCUGUGUGGAAUCUCCUUGUGGUUACGUAUGACUCAUUGAACGAGACCAUCUUGUUUUUUUAUUGUUUGUUAAAUAAAGAUGUACAAGUUUUAUACAAGGUA
Molecule: long non-coding RNA, 1115 nt
Organism: Carassius gibelio (silver crucian carp)
Lineage: Eukaryota; Metazoa; Chordata; Actinopteri; Cypriniformes; Cyprinidae
Exons: 2
Source: RefSeq, a predicted model, not a curated record